Molecule: long non-coding RNA, 264 nt
Filed under: Physcomitrium patens
Lineage: Eukaryota; Viridiplantae; Streptophyta; Bryopsida; Funariales; Funariaceae
Description: long non-coding RNA (PPAT_LNC009154)
Source: RNAcentral
UUGAUUUUCCUCAAGAUUUCUCAUAAGUCAUAAUACUCCCUUUGAUUAUUAUUUUUUAGGAGAAAUGAAAUACCACCUUGUCAUUUAGAGAUCCUAGGACCUUUUCACUCUUCUGUAGAAGAAAAUUCUUCCACAAGGAUUUUUUUCUUUUCUUAUCUUAGUUUUUUGAGUGGUGGUAGAUUCUAAAUUAUGGAGCAUUUUUCUCAAUUUCUUCACGUUCUCCAUUGCCUCUCUUGUAGCUUUGUCUAAAUCAAAAAAGUAAAG